This 253-nucleotide ribosomal RNA is filed under the name uncultured bacterium. RNAcentral describes it as "partial 16S ribosomal RNA". It matches the Rfam family "Bacterial small subunit ribosomal RNA", at positions 524 to 776 of the family's 1533-position model. The record is from RNAcentral.
GACGAACCACCCAAACGUUAAUCGGAAUUACUGGGCGUAAAGCGUGCGCAGGCGGUUUUGUAAGACAGAUGUGAAAUCCCCGGGCUCAACCUGGGACCUGCAUUUGUGACUGCAAAGCUAGAGUACGGUAGAGGGGGAUGGAAUUCCGCGUGUAGCAGUGAAAUGCGUAGAUAUGCGGAGGAACACCGAUGGCGAAGGCAAUCCCCUGGACCUGUACUGACGCUCAUGCACGAAAGCGUGGGGAGCAAACAGG